AUGGAGACCGUGUCAUGGUGGGUUGGAGGCUUCCUCGGCAAGUACCCGGAGAUCAUGGUGUCGUUCGCUUGCUUCUUGUUCUUGCUGUUCUUCAGGUUUCGCCACCGGGACGGCCUGCCAACCAACUGGCCGGUGGUCGGCGCGUUGCCGGCGAUCACCGUCAAUGCCGGGCGCGUGCACGAGUGGGUCACCGAGUUCCUGCAGGUGGCCCCGGGGAUGUCGCACGUCAUCAGGGGGCCGUGGGGCUCACCGGUGGACGUCCUUGUCACGGCCAACCCGGCGGACGUGGCGCACGUCUUCACGGCCAACUUCAGCAACUAUCCCAAGGGCGAGGACUUCGCUGCCGUGUUCGACGUGCUCGGCGACGGCAUCUUCAAUGCCGACGGCGAGUCGUGGGCGUUCCAGCGGCGCAAGGCGCACGCGCUGCUCUUCGACCCGAGGUUCCGUUCUGCCGUCGCCGCGAGCACCGCGCGCAAGCUCGGCGAGGGGCUUGUGCCGCUCCUCGACGGCCUGGCGGCCACGUGCGAGGUCGUUGAUCUGCAGGACGUGUUCAUGCGGCUGACGUUCGACCUCACGGCGAUGUUCGUGUUCGGUGUCGACCCCGGCUGCCUCGCCGCCCACUUCCCGCGAGUGCCAUUCGCCGCGGCCAUGGACGAGGCCGAGGCGGUGCUGUUCUACAGGCACCUGACGCCCGUACCGUGGCUGAGGCUGCAGACCUACCUAAACAUUGGCCACGAAAGAAAGAUGGCCAAGGCUCGGCAGGUGCUCGACGCGUCUAUCGCGGAGUUCGUGUCGCUCCGACGAGAGCGAGCGGCCCGUGCCAACACCAACGUCGACGGGACUGACGCCGCUGACCUUCUCACGUUGUACCUGGCAUGCAAAGACGAGGUAGGCAAGGACGGAAAGGAGUUCGAUCGGUUCUUGCGUGACACAACGCUGAACAUCAUGGUCGCCGGUCGCGACACCACGAGCUCCGCCUUGACAUGGUUCUUCUGGCUGCUCUCCAAACACCCCGACGUUGAGGCCAAGAUCCUCGCCGAGCUCCGUGAGAACGCAACGUCUGGUGGCAUCGGCUGCCAUCCCACCGCCAUCGAUCUGAAGCGCCUGGUCUACCUGCACGCGGCGCUGUCGGAGUCACUCCGGCUGUACCCGCCGGUGCCGUUCGAGCACAAGGCGGCGGCACGGCCAGACACGCUGCCGAGCGGCCAUGCGGUGUCGCGGACACGGCAGCUGAUCGUGUCAUUCUACUCGAUGGGGCGCAUGGAGGCGGUGUGGGGCAAGGAUUGCCUAGAGUUCCGGCCGGAGCGGUGGCUGACGGAGACGGGGCGGCUCCGCCACGAGCCUUCCUACAAGUUCGUGGCGUUCAACGUAGGGCCGCGGACGUGCAUCGGCAAGGACCUGGCGUUCACGCAGAUGAAGGCCGUCGUUGCCGCCGUCAUGCCGCGGUUCAGGGUCGAGGUCACCGCCGGUGCAACGGCGGCGAUUCCCAAGAUGUCCAUCAUACUCCACAUGAAGGACGGGCUCAAGGUGAGGGUACACAAGAGACAAGACGAUGCACUAAGUACAAUCUAG
RNAcentral lists this ribosomal RNA (1572 nucleotides) under Triticum aestivum (bread wheat). Its description in RNAcentral is "partial small subunit ribosomal RNA". Lineage: Eukaryota; Viridiplantae; Streptophyta; Magnoliopsida; Poales; Poaceae. The record is from RNAcentral.